RNAcentral lists this ribosomal RNA (497 nucleotides) under uncultured bacterium. RNAcentral describes it as "partial 16S ribosomal RNA". It matches the Rfam family "Bacterial small subunit ribosomal RNA", at positions 28 to 507 of the family's 1533-position model. The record is from RNAcentral.
GAUGAACGCUGGCGGCGUGCCUAAUACAUGCAAGUCGAGCGAACGGACGAGAAGCUUGCUUCUCUGAUGUUAGCGGCGGACGGGUGAGUAACACGUGGAUAACCUACCUAUAAGACUGGGAUAACUUCGGGAAACCGGAGCUAAUACCGGAUAAUAUUUUGAACCGCAUGGUUCAAAAGUGAAAGACGGUCUUGCUGUCACUUAUAGAUGGAUCCGCGCUGCAUUAGCUAGUUGGUAAGGUAACGGCUUACCAAGGCAACGAUGCAUAGCCGACCUGAGAGGGUGAUCGGCCACACUGGAACUGAGACACGGUCCAGACUCCUACGGGAGGCAGCAGUAGGGAAUCUUCCGCAAAGGGCGAAAGCCUGACGGAGCAACGCCGCGUGAGUGAUGAAGGUCUUCGGAUCGUAAAACUCUGUUAUUAGGGAAGAACAUAUGUGCAAGUAACUGUGCACAUCUUGACGGUACCUAAUCAGAAAGCCACGGCUAACUACGUG